GCGGGUGUAGUUCAAUGGUAGAACUCCAGCCUUCCAAGCUGAGAGCGUGGGUUCGAUUCCCAUCACCCGCUCCA
This 74-nucleotide transfer RNA is filed under the name Bacilli bacterium. RNAcentral's name for it is "tRNA-Gly". It matches the Rfam family "tRNA". Rfam says of the family: Transfer RNA (tRNA) molecules are approximately 80 nucleotides in length. Lineage: Bacteria; Bacillati; Bacillota; Bacilli. The record is from RNAcentral. RNAcentral also lists the same sequence under 1 other name.